AACGAACGCUGGCGGCAUGCCUAACACAUGCAAGUCGAACGAAGGCUUCGGCCUUAGUGGCGCACGGGUGAGUAACGCGUGGGAAACUGCCUAUUGGUGGGGAAUAACGACGGGAAACUGUCGCUAAUACCGCAUGAGCCCUUCGGGGGAAAGAUUUAUCGCCGAUAGAUGUGCCCGCGUCCGAUUAGCUAGUUGGUGAGGUAAUGGCUCACCAAGGCGACGAUCGGUAGCUGGUCUGAGAGGAUGAUCAGCCACACUGGGACUGAGACACGGCCCAGACUCCUACGGGAGGCAGCAGUGGGGAAUAUUGGUCAAUGGAUGCAAGUCUGAACCAGCCAUGCCGCGUGCAGGAAGAAGGCCUUCUGGGUUGUAAACUGCUUUUGCCAGGGGAUAAAAAGACCUUGCGAGGUUAAUUGAAGGUACCUGGUGAAUAAGCCACGGCUAACUACGUGC
This 453-nucleotide ribosomal RNA is filed under the name uncultured bacterium. Its description in RNAcentral is "partial 16S ribosomal RNA". It matches the Rfam family "Bacterial small subunit ribosomal RNA", at positions 29 to 508 of the family's 1533-position model. The record is from RNAcentral.